This 465-nucleotide ribosomal RNA is filed under the name Vreelandella stevensii. Its description in RNAcentral is "partial 16S ribosomal RNA". It matches the Rfam family "Bacterial small subunit ribosomal RNA", at positions 338 to 795 of the family's 1533-position model. The record is from RNAcentral. Lineage: Bacteria; Pseudomonadati; Pseudomonadota; Gammaproteobacteria; Oceanospirillales; Halomonadaceae.
CCUACGGGUGGCAGCAGUGGGGAAUAUUGGACAAUGGGCGAAAGCCUGAUCCAGCCAUGCCGCGUGUGUGAAGAAGGCCUUCGGGUUGUAAAGCACUUUCAGUGGGGAAGAAAGCCUUGGGGCUAAUACCCUCGAGGAAGGACAUCACCCACAGAAGAAGCACCGGCUAACUCCGUGCCAGCAGCCGCGGUAAUACGGAGGGUGCGAGCGUUAAUCGGAAUUACUGGGCGUAAAGCGCGCGUAGGCGGUCUGAUAAGCCGGUUGUGAAAGCCCCGGGCUCAGCCUGGGAACGGCAUCCGGAACUGUCAGGCUAGAGUGCAGGAGAGGAAGGUAGAAUUCCCGGUGUAGCGGUGAAAUGCGUAGAGAUCGGGAGGAAUACCAGUGGCGAAGGCGGCCUUCUGGACUGACACUGACGCUGAGGUGCGAAAGCGUGGGUAGCAAACAGGAUUAGAUACCCGAGUAGUC